Molecule: long non-coding RNA, 242 nt
Organism: Hydra vulgaris (swiftwater hydra)
Lineage: Eukaryota; Metazoa; Cnidaria; Hydrozoa; Anthoathecata; Hydridae
Source: RefSeq, a predicted model, not a curated record
AGCUUCUGCUAAUAAUGUUUUGAAUGAAAUUAUAUCAAAAUGUGUUGAAGUAUUGUUUAAGAAUGCUGGAACUUAUGGAAAUAUUGUAUAGAAUAUUUAUAGGAACAUUUGUGUCACAUACUGCAAAGUUCGAUUUGGUCGAUAAGUUGAUAGGCGAUUGUUUGAAGAGAGCUCUUCAUAGAAUAGCAUAAAAAUUACUUUAUUAUGUUUUUGUAUGCUUAAAUUGUAAAUAAACAUUAAAC